AUGUCCAGUUUUGGGCCUCCCACUACAGGAAAGAUACUGGUGGACUGGACUGAACUCUGCAGAGGGUCACCAAGAUGGUUGGGGCUGGAACCCUCACUCCAUGAGGAGAGGUUGAGGGAGCAGGGCUGGUCCAGGCUGGGACAGAGAGGGAUGUGGGGGGAGUUCACCACAGCGCCAGCAUUGUGGGGAGCUUGGCAAGAAAUCAGAGCCGGGCUCUGCAUAGCAGUGAGUAGCAGGAGAGUGAGACACACAUGGAAGAAGGUGGAACAAGAGAGGUUCAGGCUGGGUUUAAUUGGAGUUUUUGACACAAAACUGGGAGGAGUGGCUGAUACACCAGAGGGCUGUGCUGCCAUUCAGAGAGACCUGGCCAGGCUGGAGAGGUGGGCAGAGAGGAACCUCAUGAAAUUCAACAAAGGCAAGKGCAGGGUCCUGCACCUGGGGAGGMAUAACCCCCUGCACCAGUACAGGUUGGGGGUUGACCUGCUGGAAAGCAGCUCUGUGGAGAAGGACCUGGGAGUGCUGGUGGACACCAAGUUAAGCAUGAGGCAGCAAUGUGCCCUUGUGGCCAAGAAGGCCAAUGGUAUCCUGGGGUGCAUCAGGAAGAGUGUUGCCAGCAGGUCGAGGGAGGUGAUCCUCCCCCUCUACUCAGCCCUGGUAAGACCACAUCUGGAGUACUGCAUCCAGUUCUGGGCUCCCCAGUACAAGAGGGAUGUGGCACUACUGGAGCAAGUCCAGCGAAGGGCUACAAAGGUGAUUAGGGGACUGGAGCAUCUCUCUUAUGAGGAAAGGCUGAGAGAGCUGGGCCUGUUUAGCUUGGAGAAGAGAAGGCUGAGAGGAGAUCUUAUCAACGUGUACAAGUAUCUGAAGGGAGGGUGUCAAGAGGAUGGGGCCAGACUCUUUUCAGUGGUGCCCAGCGACAGGACGCGAGGCAACGGGCACAAACAGAAACACAGACAAUUCCAUCUGAACAUGAGGAAAAACUUCUUCACUGUGAGGGUGACAGAGCACUGGAACAGGUUGCCCAGAGAGGCUGUGGAGUCUCCUUCUCUGGAGAUAUUCAAAACCCACCUGGGCACGAUCCUGUGCAAUGUGCUCUAG
RNAcentral lists this long non-coding RNA (1098 nucleotides) under Apteryx haastii (Great spotted kiwi). Its description in RNAcentral is "lncRNA (ENSAHAG00000000767.1)". The record is from RNAcentral. Lineage: Eukaryota; Metazoa; Chordata; Aves; Apterygiformes; Apterygidae.